GUCACUUGGUACCUUCUUUGAGGAAGUGUGAACACCACUUUUCAAAAGGCUGAUGUGCACACUCACAUCAACCAGUACUGCAUGAAAAACAUCAAAAUGUACAGGACAAUAAGAGUGCAACCCUAGAAGAGCUUUGGGUGGAAGACGAAAUUCAUGGACUGCAGCAGGAGAAGCAUCCGAGGAAUCCUGUAGACUAGUCCCAUUCUCCAA
Molecule: unclassified non-coding RNA, 210 nt
Filed under: Hevea brasiliensis (rubber tree)
Lineage: Eukaryota; Viridiplantae; Streptophyta; Magnoliopsida; Malpighiales; Euphorbiaceae
Source: RNAcentral